Molecule: long non-coding RNA, 676 nt
Organism: Lycium ferocissimum
Lineage: Eukaryota; Viridiplantae; Streptophyta; Magnoliopsida; Solanales; Solanaceae
Exons: 2
Source: RefSeq, a predicted model, not a curated record
GAUUAGGUGACUUGACUUCAUCUUUUAUUCAUACUAUUAAAUUACUUCAGAAAUUCCCUUUGUUAUUUCUAACCUUUUCAUUUUUCUCCUUCCAAGUCAAUAUACUUGCUUGUUUUGUAGUAUCUGUACACACGGUCAAAAUUCAUAUAAAUACAUCCAAACGCAUUGAGCUUGAUAUUCAAGUUCUAAAAAAAAGCUUUCAAAAUUGUUACUUAAUAAUUCGUAUAGGUUUGCAAUGGCAGCAUUCUCUAACUCCAUAAGGUCCAUAGUGAUUACACUUAUGAUUUAUGCUAUUCUCCUGUCUCCCUUGCUAUUAUGGUCCUGCGAUGCAGCUAGAACCCCUCAAGAAUUCGUGGCGAGCAAGUCUACCGUAGCAUGUCUUCAUUGUGUGGGGUGUUGUGAACCACCACCCCCAGGUGCCUGUUGCACCCGCUGUGGUUGUUGAAGCUCCUCUUUUCUACAAGUCAAAUGAAGAAGUCUCAUGAUAAGCAAUUGGUGUGUCUCUGAGUAAUGUGCAUGUUAUACUCAAUAAAGAAACAACUUGGUUUCUUUAGGUUAAUUAGGCGUGUUAUUUGUACACUGUGGGAAAUGUCGAGUUUGUAACGUUUUGUAUUUAGUGAAUAAAUUAAGAGAAAAGAUUUCGAGAGGAAAACCCGAACUUUUAUCUUUUCUGGUU